RNAcentral lists this ribosomal RNA (825 nucleotides) under uncultured bacterium. RNAcentral describes it as "bacterial SSU rRNA". It matches the Rfam family "Bacterial small subunit ribosomal RNA", at positions 55 to 873 of the family's 1533-position model. The record is from RNAcentral.
AUGCAGUCGAGGGGCAGCAUGAUUGAAGCUUGCUUCAAUUGAUGGCGACCGGCGCACGGGUGAGUAACGCGUAUCCAACCUUCCGCUUACUCGGGGAUAGCCUUUCGAAAGAAAGAUUAAUACCCGAUGGUAUGAUGAGAUUGCAUGAUAGCAUCAUUAAAGAUUUAUUGGUAAGCGAUGGGGAUGCGUUCCAUUAGGUAGUAGGCGGGGUAACGGCCCACCUAGCCGACGAUGGAUAGGGGUUCUGAGAGGAAGGUCCCCCACAUUGGAACUGAGACACGGUCCAAACUCCUACGGGAGGCAGCAGUGAGGAAUAUUGGUCAAUGGACGAGAGUCUGAACCAGCCAAGUAGCGUGAAGGAUGAAGGUCCUACGGAUUGUAAACUUCUUUUAUAAGGGAAUAAAACCUCCCACGUGUGGGAGCUUGUAUGUACCUUAUGAAUAAGCAUCGGCUAACUCCGUGCCAGCAGCCGCGGUAAUACGGAGGAUGCGAGCGUUAUCCGGAUUUAUUGGGUUUAAAGGGAGCGCAGACGGGUCGUUAAGUCAGCUGUGAAAGUUUGGGGCUCAACCUUAAAAUUGCAGUUGAUACUGGCGUCCUUGAGUGCGGUUGAGGUGUGCGGAAUUCGUGGUGUAGCGGUGAAAUGCUUAGAUAUCACGAAGAACUCCGAUUGCGAAGGCAGCACACUAAGCCGUAACUGACGUUCAUGCUCGAAAGUGUGGGUAUCAAACAGGAUUAGAUACCCUGGUAGUCCACACGGUAAACGAUGGAUACUCGCUGUUGGCGAUAUACGGUCAGCGGCUUAGCGAAAGCGUUAAGUAUCCCACC